AGCGAACGCUGGCGGCGUACUUAACACAUGCAAGUCGAACGGGAUCGACACGUGAGCAAUCACGUGGCGGUCUUAGUGGCGUACGGGUGAGUAACACGUGGGCAACCUGCCCUUGAGUCUGGGAUAACCUCCCGAAAGGGAGGCUAAUACCGGAUACGGUCCUCGGGUCGCGAGAUCUGAGGAAGAAAGGUGGCGCAAGCUACCGCUCUUGGAGGGACUCGCGGCCUAUCAGCAGUUGGUGAGGUAACGGCUCACCAAGGCUAUGACGGGUAGCUGGUCUGAGAGGACGACCAGCCACACGGGGACUGAGACACGG
Molecule: ribosomal RNA, 316 nt
Filed under: uncultured bacterium
Lineage: Bacteria
Description: bacterial SSU rRNA
Rfam family: Bacterial small subunit ribosomal RNA
Source: RNAcentral